Long non-coding RNA from Mytilus californianus (California mussel), 2691 nucleotides. RefSeq lists it as uncharacterized. The transcript has 3 exons. NCBI's taxonomy places the organism in Eukaryota, Metazoa, Mollusca, Bivalvia, Mytilida, Mytilidae. The record is from RefSeq and is a predicted model, not a curated record.
AUAGUAACAAAGCCAGAAAAAGAUAAAUGAAAUAAAAGAAAACAACAAACAAACAAAAAUACCCCACACAAUCCUAAAAUUUUAUUGGAUAAUGACAUCUCUUAUGAAAAUUCAUUUCCUGUUAAUAUUCGAAAAACACAGUUAAACAAUGGCAAGGGUACUUAUAAUCUAAAAGUCAUAGAGGAAACUCAUCGAAAAUGUGAUAAUUUAUUCUACUUAACGCCAGACAUAUUAACCUUUGUUCGGCAAUUUUUAAAGACAAUUAAUAUUCUUUGCAUGUUAACACAAAGUGAAAAUAAAUAUGCCAUGCACAACAAAAUGGACAAAUUUAACCAGAGCUAACAAAGUUAUCUUUGUUUUGACAGUGGUUGCACUUUCUUUGCUUGUCUUUGGAUUUUCAACGCCACUUUGGAUUUUGAUAUCAGUGAAAACUGAAUUUAACUUUGAAGCUUUUGAAAUGGUCGAGAAGGAAUAUAUUGGUCUUUGGCAGUGGUGCUUUAAACAUUAUGGAUGUUUUGAUCUAUCUUUUCUGGCGAAACAAUUUUCAAUAUUUACCAAGAUUAACAAACGUUUUAAUCUGAUAGAUGAUGUGAUAAUAAACAAGGCCAACAGAAUUAUAAAUUUGUGGACAAUUUCUAGAUCAUGUGCAACUGUGGCCGUCGUUUGUGCAAUAUCGUUUUCGAUUUGGAAACUGUAUUUCAUCUGGAUACGGGAGAUGAACCAUGUCCGUGUCUACUAUAUUGUUUCAAUUGUAGAAAAUUUCAUCAUUGGUCCUGCUUUAUGUGUAUGCUUGAUAACGUUUAGUGUUGCAAUACAAACCUAUGAUGAGCUAAAAAUUAAUCUAUAUAAUAACGGAUUGGAUAUUAACGAAAUACUACACAAAGUAGACAUUCACAGAUAUUUUUUCAUUUCUUUUUGGAUGGUUUGUGCUGCAACAAUACUGUACUUUUCUAAUGGGAUACUAGCCAUUGUCACUUUAUGCAGAAGCUAUGUAAUCAACACAAAAGCCGCAUCUGGAAGACGCUCAGUAGCAGCAACUAAAAGUGGAAACGAGAAAUCGUUAGAAAUGAUUUAUGUGUAUAAUUCAUAAAUUAUAGAACAACUCUGACAGAUUAACAGUUCGGUUUUUAGAUUAUAAUUGAUAAUAGUCUUUGUUCGAUUUCUUGUCAUUCUGAUGGCGUUUGUCGUACGGUUUUACCAUUUCUCAGUUAUACAAAUAUAAAUUUUUGAGAAUGAAAGGUAGAACUAAAUCAAUCUUGAGUAAGGCAACCGUAUAAAUAAUUUAUGGAGUGUCUUUUUUUUUUUUUACUAAAAUUUCCUUUUUAGAAUUAACAAUAUACUAUAGGUACUUCUUAGAGCGCUCUUAGAUAUGUCCAUUUGUUUUAUCUCCUGUUCCUUUUCCCAUAUUUUACAAGUUUCCAAUUAGAUUCCUUUCCCCAUAUUUUAUUGAUGGUUUCUCUUCGGUCUCAUUUACGUACUUGUAUAUCUUUAUUUACUCUUGGCAUGCAUACAUUAUGUAACAUGUUUAUAAAUAUUAGAGUGGAAGUGCAAUAUUUUGUAAAGAGUCAAGCAUGACUAUUUUCCAUAUUUUUAUCAUGAAAUCCGCCAAUUAGUUUGCUUCAAAUAAAUGUUUGCUUUAUUUGUAUAGGUUAAAGUUAGUUUCGUGAGUUAUUCUACUAAUAUGUUUAUCGAACAGUGAUGUUAACAUUUUUGUUUUAUCCUAGUUUAUUAUGAGUCAUCCUCAGUGAUCGCGUUUAUGCCAUGUCGACAUGUAUGAAAAUCAUACAACAGUUCGAAACAAAACAAAAUGUAAAGGGUAAAUUACUGGAUAAAAACAAUAUAUGUACAUAGUCAGUAAAAAAAAAAUUAAAUUCAAUGUACUUGCUACAAAUCAGGAAAAAAGUUUGGCGAGCCUCGUUGUUCGUCCUGUUUCUUGUUGGUAAAAUUAUCAAUCAUAUACUUAUAAAUAUAGGAGUGAUUUUUGAGUGACAUUAUAUGGAAUUUUAAAAUCGAUUAAUUAAUAAAUUGUUUGAAAAAUAAAGUUGCCACUCCCCAGACAAAGCUGAUCUUAAUGAAUUUGGUAUCAAUAUAAUGUACUUAAAUUAUGAGUUUUAUAUAUUUUAUGUAAAUAUGUAUGUAUAGCUUCUCAUGAGUCGUUAAACAGUGGCUCUGGUUUUAUAUAUUUUGUGAGUUUAUAUUUUAUACGUUUUUUUUUUUAUAAAAAGUGAAACAUUAAUGUAUUGUCUUUGUCUUGACUGCAUUAUUUAACAUAAUUCUAGAAAUGUUAGAAGGCCCGGGCGGUAAAUAUAGGACAAUACCACUGUUAAACUAUCCGUAAUUUUAGGCAGUUUAUUUGCUGCUCCGGUUUUAUCUCUUUUUAUACAUUCUGUAGAUAUCUCAUACCUCUUAUUUUCAGGUUUAUGACAAAACUGUUGACAAAAUACUUGUAUUUUAAAUUAGUAGUGAACAUGUUUACUUCUAACUGACAAGAUCUGCUUUGAAAUUUUAUUACAAAACAAAUAAAUGUAAUAUAUUUAAAUAAUGCAUUUUAUAUAUAUUAUUAAAUAUUUAUAUCCAGUCACACAAAUAUACUCUUUUAAGAAUGGCUUUGGUUUUAUAUAUUAUGUGAAUUUGUAUUUUUAACAUAUAUUGUAUAAAAAGUGAAACUUCAAUAAAGUAUUAAUUAUCUUG